UAACGGCUUACCAAGGCAACGAUGCAUAGCCGACCUGAGAGGGUGAUCGGCCACACUGGAACUGAGACACGGUCCAGACUCCUACGGGAGGCAGCAGUAGGGAAUCUUCCGCAAUGGGCGAAAGCCUGACGGAGCAACGCCGCGUGAGUGAUGAAGGUCUUCGGAUCGUAAAACUCUGUUAUUAGGGAAGAACAUAUGUGUAAGUAACUGUGCACAUCUUGACGGUACCUAAUCAGAAAGCCACGGCUAACUACGUGCCAGCAGCCGCGGUAAUACGUAGGUGGCAAGCGUUAUCCGGAAUUAUUGGGCGUAAAGCGCGCGUAGGCGGUUUUUUAAGUCUGAUGUGAAAGCCCACGGCUCAACCGUGGAGGGUCAUUGGAAACUGGAAAACUUGAGUGCAGAAGAGGAAAGUGGAAUUCCAUGUGUAGCGGUGAAAUGCGCAGAGAUAUGGAGGAACACCAGUGGCGAAGGCGACUUUCUGGUCUGUAACUGACGCUGAUGUGCGAAAGCGUGGGGAUCAAACAGGAUUAGAUACCCUGGUAGUCCACGCCGUAAACGA
This 559-nucleotide ribosomal RNA is filed under the name Staphylococcus aureus. Its description in RNAcentral is "bacterial SSU rRNA". It matches the Rfam family "Bacterial small subunit ribosomal RNA", at positions 258 to 809 of the family's 1533-position model. The record is from RNAcentral. Lineage: Bacteria; Bacillati; Bacillota; Bacilli; Caryophanales; Staphylococcaceae.